AACAACUCACCUGCCGAAUGAACUAGCCCUGAAAAUGGAUGACGCUUAAGCGGGUUGCCGACACCAGACCGUUUCGAUAAGAAGCGAUCGAAAUGAGUAGGAGGGCGUGGCGGUUUUGUUGAGAAGGAUGAGACGCAAGUCUAUCUGAAACGGCCGCUAGUGCAGAUCUUGGUGGUAGUAGCAAAUAUUCAAGCGAGAUCCUUGAAGGGCGAAGCGGGGAAGGGUUCCACGCGAACAUUGAUUGGGCGUGGGUGAGUCGUUCCUAAGCCGGGUGGUAAUCGUUCUUCGAUCGGCGAAAGGGAAGCGGGUUAAAAUUCUCGCACACGGAUGUGGAGGCGGUGACGCAAAUUGAGGUGGAGACGUUAGCGGUGGCACUGGGCAGAGUUUUCUUUUCUGUUUAACCUGUGAGUGCACUCUGUGGAAUCCGAUUAUCGGGCGAAACAGGUGCUUAUGGGAAGAGCGUCGGGGCGUCCCCGGCGUCCAGUACGCCACCGAUAGCCCUUGAAAAUCCAUCUGCAAUGAAAUUUCACGCCGUGGCGUACCGAUAACCGCAUCAGGUCCCCAAGGUGAACAGCCUCUGCUCAAUAUGAACAAU
This 595-nucleotide ribosomal RNA is filed under the name Porolithon onkodes. Its description in RNAcentral is "eukaryotic LSU rRNA". It matches the Rfam family "Eukaryotic large subunit ribosomal RNA", at positions 1284 to 1899 of the family's 3401-position model. Lineage: Eukaryota; Rhodophyta; Florideophyceae; Corallinales; Porolithaceae. The record is from RNAcentral.